RNAcentral lists this ribosomal RNA (51 nucleotides) under Candida albicans. RNAcentral describes it as "partial 28S ribosomal RNA". The record is from RNAcentral. Lineage: Eukaryota; Fungi; Ascomycota; Pichiomycetes; Serinales; Debaryomycetaceae.
UUUGACCUCAAAUCANGUAGGACUACCCGCUGAACUUAAGCAUAUCAAUAA